RNAcentral lists this long non-coding RNA (631 nucleotides) under Chinchilla lanigera (long-tailed chinchilla). RNAcentral describes it as "lncRNA (ENSCLAG00000022502.1)". Lineage: Eukaryota; Metazoa; Chordata; Mammalia; Rodentia; Chinchillidae. The record is from RNAcentral.
AUGAUAAUCUUGAAAGAAAUCAGAUAUGAAAAUACCUGUAGCUAUAUGAGGCUGCCUUGUCCAUACAACUGUUGUCAUAGCUCUUUGGCACAGCAAGGUGUGCACGUGUGUCCUCUCCAGCCAUGCACCUGGACUCUGAGUCGCUGGACAUCCCUUUUCCACCAGUCUUGAACAAACCCAGAGGUAUAGCACAGGGAGAGAGCCCACAACAUACAGAAAGAAUUUAGCCUGGAUGCAUGGAAUAAAAUAAGAUGAAGAAUUAAAUUGGGGAACCUGAUGGAACUGUUAAGUGUGAUUACGGCACGGAAAUCACAAGAUUCCACCAAAGAAAAUGAAACAAUACGCUCUGCAGAAGACUUUCAACCUCACUUUAGAGCUCUGGUUAGUGGACUGAAGUGAUUUCCUUGCAAAUACAUGUACGAGAAUAAAUUUAAUGAAAAGAGAUAAGGAACAUUCUACAUAUUCCUUACAAGGUUCCGUGGGUUGAAUAAAAGGGUUAAUAAAGUCCUCUUCAAGAAAAGAAUGAUUACGGAUCUUUCUUCAUCCUUUUAAAGAAACAUUAUUAUGUAGAAAAUUUGGACAACAAACAAGUAUCAAAAUGAUUCUUAAAAAUUAUAAUUAUAUUAUGUGG